UACGGGGGGGGCAAGCGUUGUUCGGAAUUACUGGGCGUAAAGGGCUCGUAGGCGGCCAACUAAGUCAGACGUGAAAUCCCUCGGCUUAACCGGGGAACUGCGUCUGAUACUGGAUGGCUAGAGGUUGGGAGAGGGAUGCGGAAUUCCAGGUGUAGCGGUGAAAUGCGUAGAUAUCUGGAGGAACACCGGUGGCGAAGGCGCACAUCUGGCCCGAUACUGACGCUGAAGCGCGAAAGCUAGGGGAGCAAACGGG
RNAcentral lists this ribosomal RNA (253 nucleotides) under uncultured bacterium. RNAcentral's name for it is "partial 16S ribosomal RNA". It matches the Rfam family "Bacterial small subunit ribosomal RNA", at positions 524 to 776 of the family's 1533-position model. The record is from RNAcentral.